RNAcentral lists this ribosomal RNA (301 nucleotides) under uncultured bacterium. RNAcentral's name for it is "partial 16S ribosomal RNA". It matches the Rfam family "Bacterial small subunit ribosomal RNA", at positions 509 to 809 of the family's 1533-position model. The record is from RNAcentral.
CAGUCGCCGCGGUAAUACGUAGGUGGCAAGCGUUGUCCGGAAUUAUUGGGCGUAAAGCGGGCGCAGACGGUUACUUAAGCAGGAUGUGAAAUCCCCGGGCUCAACCUGGGAACUGCGUUCUGAACUGGGUGACUAGAGUGCGUCAGAGGGAGGUAGAAUUCCACGUGUAGCAGUGAAAUGCGUAGAGAUGUGGAGGAACACCGAUGGCGAAGGCAGCCCCCUGGGCCAAUACUGACGCUCAUGCACGAAAGCGUGGGGAGCAAACAGGAUUAGAUACCCCUGUAGUCCCUGUCUCUUAUAA